RNAcentral lists this ribosomal RNA (549 nucleotides) under uncultured bacterium. RNAcentral's name for it is "partial 16S ribosomal RNA". It matches the Rfam family "Bacterial small subunit ribosomal RNA", at positions 355 to 896 of the family's 1533-position model. The record is from RNAcentral.
UGGGGAAUUUUGGACAAUGGGCGCAAGCCUGAUCCGGCCAUGCCGCGUGCGGGAAGAAGGCCUUCGGGUUGUAAACCGCUUUUGUCAGGGAAGAAAUCUUCAGAGUUAAUACCUCGGGAGGAUGACGGUACCUGAAGAAUAAGCACCGGCUAACUACGUGCCAGCAGCCGCGGUAAUACGUAGGGUGCAAGCGUUAAUCGGAAUUACUGGGCGUAAAGCGUGCGCAGGCGGUUUUGUAAGACAGAGGUGAAAUCCCCGGGCUCAACCUGGGAACUGCCUUUGUGACUGCAAGGCUUGAGUGCGGCAGAGGGGGGAUGGAAUUCCGCGUGUAGCAGUGAAAUGCGUAGAUAUGCGGAGGAACACCGAUGGCGAAGGCAAUCCCCUGGGCCUGCACUGACGCUCAUGCACGAAAGCGUGGGGAGCAAACAGGAUUAGAUACCCUGGUAGUCCACGCCCUAAACGAUGUCAACUGGUUGUUGGGAAGGUUCCUUCUCAGUAACGUAGCUAACGCGUGAAGUUGACCGCCUGGGGAGUACGGCCGCAAGGUUG